AAAAAAUUUAAUUUUGGUUUUUUUAAUUGAUAAGAUUUUAAACAUUAAAAAAAUAUAUAAAUAUAAAAGUAUUUUGUUUUGAAAAUAAAAUUAGGGAAAAAUUUUUAAGAGUUUAGAUGUGGGUUUUAAAAAAUGAUUAGAAUAAAUCAGAUAAAGUAAAUUUUAUUUAGAAAAGUAAAUUAGAGUGCCAGCAGCUGCGGUUAUACUCAGUUUAAAAAAUUAAUUUUAAGAAAAAAUUUUAAAGAAUUUUUAAAAAAAUUUAAGGUAAUAUUAUUAUUUUUUUUAGUUCUUAUAUAAAUGUUUUAAAAGUUAUAGUUAAAAUUGUUGGUAAUAAUAAGUAUAAUAACUUAAAAAUUUUUUACUAUAAAAAAUAAAAAGAUUUGGCAGUAAAUUUAAAUAAUCUGGGGAAUGUGUUUAAUAAAGAGAAUUUACACUUACUAAUUUGUUAGUCUUAAUGGAAGGUUAGUGUACGGUUGUUUAAAAGAUUUUUUUAAGAAAAAAAAAUCUUAAAUGCAAAUCAUUGUGCUGCUUAUAGAUUAAAUAUUAAAUUCAUUACAUUAAAGUUUUUUAAACUGAAAAUCGAAAAACUAAGGACUAGACAGUAAAAAUUUAAAAAUAUGAAAUUUUGAAAAUAAAAAAAAAUUUGAGUACACAUUGCCCGUCAAUUUUCUUUGGAAGAUAAGUCGUAACAUGGUAAAUUUAGCUGAAGCUGAAUUUUUUUUU
This 723-nucleotide ribosomal RNA is filed under the name Vermiviatum covidum. RNAcentral's name for it is "12S ribosomal RNA". Lineage: Eukaryota; Metazoa; Platyhelminthes; Tricladida; Geoplanidae. The record is from RNAcentral.